UACGUAGGGUGCAAGCGUUGUCCGGAAUUAUUGGGCGUAAAGCGUGCGCAGGCGGUUAUGUAAGACAGGUGUGAAAUCCCCGGGCUUAACCUGGGAACUGCAUUUGUGACUGCAUAGCUAGAGUACGGUAGAGGGGAUGGAAUUCCGCGUGUAGCAGUGAAAUGCGUAGAUAUGCGGAGGAACACCGAUGGCGAAGGCAAUCCCCUGGACCUGUACUGACGCUCAUGCACGAAAGCGUGGGGAGCAAACAGG
RNAcentral lists this ribosomal RNA (252 nucleotides) under uncultured bacterium. RNAcentral describes it as "partial 16S ribosomal RNA". It matches the Rfam family "Bacterial small subunit ribosomal RNA", at positions 524 to 776 of the family's 1533-position model. The record is from RNAcentral.